This 475-nucleotide unclassified non-coding RNA is filed under the name plant metagenome. RNAcentral's name for it is "partial contains 5.8S ribosomal RNA, internal transcribed spacer 2, and large subunit ribosomal RNA". The stretch from base 1 to 105 matches the Rfam family "5.8S ribosomal RNA", at positions 50 to 154 of the family's 154-position model. The record is from RNAcentral.
GAAAUGCGAUAACUUAUGUGAAUUGCAGAACCCUGUGAAUCAUCGAAUCCUUGAACGCAAAUUGCACUCUUGGGACCUCCUGAGAGUGUGCCUGUUUGAGUGUCGGUAAUUUUUCAAAAAACAAUCACAUUUAUUUGUGUAAAUGGUUAUUCGAAAAUAAAUUCUCUCUAUUUUCGAUAAACUAAAGUAAAUUAUGAUUGGUUAAUAAAAUAUGAAUAUAUUUUAUUUAAACCUCAGAAAGAAUUACUAAUAAACUAACCCAAGUGGUUUCUAUUUUUUUCAAUAAAAAAAAAUAUGAAUUCCUUGGUUAAUUUAUUUUCUUUUUUGAGGUAUAAAUAUAUAUAUAUAUAUUUAUUAACUCUUUACCAAGAUAAUAUUCUAAUAUGGAUGGAAAUCAUCAUCUAUAUUAGAAAAUUAUUUUAAAAAACAAAAAUCUCGACCUCAAAUUAGGCAAGAUUACCCGCUGAAUUUAAGC